UACAGAGGUCUCAAGCGUUGUUCGGAUUCAUUGGGCGUAAAGGGUGCGUAGGCGGCGCGGUAAGUCGGGUGUGAAAUUUCGAGGCUUAACUUCGAAACUGCAUUCGAUACUGCCGUGCUUGAGGACUGGAGAGGAGACUGGAAUUUACGGUGUAACGGUGAAAUGCGUAGAUAUCGUAAGGAAGACCAGUGGCGAAGGCGGGUCUCUGGACAGUUCCUGACGCUGAGGCACGAAGGCCAGGGGAGCAAACGGG
This 253-nucleotide ribosomal RNA is filed under the name uncultured bacterium. RNAcentral's name for it is "partial 16S ribosomal RNA". It matches the Rfam family "Bacterial small subunit ribosomal RNA", at positions 524 to 776 of the family's 1533-position model. The record is from RNAcentral.